This 497-nucleotide ribosomal RNA is filed under the name uncultured bacterium. Its description in RNAcentral is "partial 16S ribosomal RNA". It matches the Rfam family "Bacterial small subunit ribosomal RNA", at positions 28 to 507 of the family's 1533-position model. The record is from RNAcentral.
GAUGAACGCUGGCGGCGUGCCUAAUACAUGCAAGUCGAGCGAACGGACGAGAAGCUUGCUUCUCUGAUGUUAGCGGCGGACGGGUGAGUAACACGUGGAUAACCUACCUAUAAGACUGGGAUAACUUCGGGAAACCGGAGCUAAUACCGGAUGAUAUUUUGAACCGCAUGGUUCAAAAGUGAAAGACGGUCUUGCUGUCACUUAUAGAUGGAUCCGCGCUGCAUUAGCUAGUUGGUAAGGUAACGGCUUACCAAGGCAACGAUGCAUAGCCGACCUGAGAGGGUGAUCGGCCACACUGGAACUGAGACACGGUCCAGACUCCUACGGGAGGCAGCAGUAGGGAAUCUUCCGCAAUGGGCGAAAGCCUGACGGAGCAACGCCGCGUGAGUGAUGAAGGACUUCGGAUCGUAAAACUCUGUUAUUAGGGAAGAACAUAUGUGUAAGUAACUGUGCACAUCUUGACGGUACCUAAUCAGAAAGCCACGGCUAACUACGCG